This 508-nucleotide ribosomal RNA is filed under the name uncultured bacterium. RNAcentral's name for it is "partial 16S ribosomal RNA". It matches the Rfam family "Bacterial small subunit ribosomal RNA", at positions 28 to 507 of the family's 1533-position model. The record is from RNAcentral.
GACGAACGCUGGCGGCGUGCCUAAUACAUGCCAGUCGAACGCUUCUUUCCUCCCGAGUGCUUGCACUCAAUUGGAAAGAGGAGUGGCGGACGGGUGAGUAACACGUGGGUAACCUACCCAUCAGAGGGGGAUAACACUUGGAAACAGGUGCUAAUACCGCAUAACAGUUUAUGCCGCAUGGCAUAAGAGUGAAAGGCGCUUUCGGGUGUCGCUGAUGGAUGGACCCGCGGUGCAUUAGCUAGUUGGUGAGGUAACGGCUCACCAAGGCCACGAUGCAUAGCCGACCUGAGAGGGUGAUCGGCCACACUGGGACUGAGACACGGCCCAGACUCCUACGGGAGGCAGCAGUAGGGAAUCUUCGGCAAUGGACGAAAGUCUGACCGAGCAACGCCGCGUGAGUGAAGAAGGUGUUCGGAUCGUAAAACUCUGUUGUUAGAGAAGAACAAGGACGUUAGUAACUGAACGUCCCCUGACGGUAUCUAACCAGAAAGCCACGGCUAACUACGUG